AUCAACUUUCGAUUGGUAGGAUAGAGGCCUACCAUGGUGGUAACGGGUAACGGGGUGUUAGGGCACGACACCGGAGAGGGAGCCUGAGAAACGGCUACCACAUCCAAGGAUGGCAGCAGGCGCGCAAAUUACCCAAUCCCGACACGGGGAGGUAGUGACAAUAAAUAACAAUACGGGGUUCUUUCGGAUCUCGUAAUUGGAAUGAGUACAAUUUAAAUCUCUUAACGAGGAACAAUUGGAGGGCAAGUCUGGUGCCAGCAGCCACGGUAAUUCCAGCUCCAAUAGCGUAUAUUAAAGUUGUUGCAGUUAAAAAGCUCGUAGUUGAAUUUCGGGACCAAUUUGUUGGUCGUGCCUCGGUACGUACUGGUAUUAUUGGUUUCUACCUUCUGAAGAACCUUGAUGUCAUUAACUUGGUGUCUUGGGAAUCAGGACUGUUACUUUGAAAAAAUUAGAGUGUUUAAAGCAAGCAUACGCUUGAAUACAUUAGCAUGGAAUAAUGAAAUAGGACGUUUGAUUCUAUUUUGUUGGUUUCUAGGAUCGACGUAAUGAUUAAUAGGGAUAGUUGGGGGCAUUAGUAUUCAAUUGUCAGAGGUGAAAUUCUUGGAUUUAUUGAAGACUAACUACUGCGAAAGCAUUUGCCAAGGAUGUUUUCAUUAAUCAAGAACGAAAGUUAGGGGAUCGAAGACGAUCAGAUACCGUCGUAGUCUUAACCAUAAACUAUGCCGACUAGGGAUCGGAUGAUGUUAAUUUUUUAAUGACUCAUUCGGCGCCUUACGGGAAACCAAAGUGUUUGGGUUC
This 798-nucleotide ribosomal RNA is filed under the name uncultured Glomus. RNAcentral's name for it is "SSU rRNA". It matches the Rfam family "Eukaryotic small subunit ribosomal RNA", at positions 314 to 1114 of the family's 1831-position model. Lineage: Eukaryota; Fungi; Glomeromycota; Glomeromycetes; Glomerales; Glomeraceae. The record is from RNAcentral.